UACGUAGGGUGCGAGCGUUAAUCGGAAUUAUUGGGCGUAAAGAGCUCGUAGGCGGUUUGUCGCGUCUGGUGUGAAAACCUCAGGCUCAACCUGGGGCGUGCAUCGGGUACGGGCAGACUAGAGUGCGGUAGGGGAGACUGGAAUUCCUGGUGUAGCGGUGGAAUGCGCAGAUAUCAGGAGGAACACCGAUGGCGAAGGCAGGUCUCUGGGCCGCAACUGACGCUGAGGAGCGAAAGCAUGGGGAGCGAACAGG
RNAcentral lists this ribosomal RNA (253 nucleotides) under uncultured bacterium. RNAcentral describes it as "partial 16S ribosomal RNA". It matches the Rfam family "Bacterial small subunit ribosomal RNA", at positions 524 to 776 of the family's 1533-position model. The record is from RNAcentral.